Molecule: ribosomal RNA, 427 nt
Filed under: uncultured Glomus
Lineage: Eukaryota; Fungi; Glomeromycota; Glomeromycetes; Glomerales; Glomeraceae
Description: SSU rRNA
Rfam family: Eukaryotic small subunit ribosomal RNA
Source: RNAcentral
AGCAGCCGCGGUAAUUCCAGCUCCAAUAGCGUAUAUUAAAGUUGUUGCAGUUAAAAAGCUCGUAGUUGAAUUUCGGGGUUAGUAGGUUGGUCAUGCCUCUGGUAUGUACUGGUCUCACUGAUUCCUCCUUCCUGAUGAGCCGUAAUGCCAUUAAUUUGGUGUUGCGGGGAAUUUGGACUGUUACUUUGAAAAAUUGAGUGUUUAAAGCAAGCUAACGCUUGAAUACAUUAGCAUGGAAUAAUGAAAUAGGACGUUCGAUCCUAUUUUGUGGUUUCUAGGAUUGACGUAAUGAUUAAUAGGGAUAGUGGGGCAUUAGUAUUCAAUUGUCAGAGGUGAAAUUCUUGGAUUUAUGAAGACUAACUACUGCGAAAGCAUUUGCCAAGGAUUGUUUCAUUAANCAAGAACGAAAGUUGGGAUCGAAGACGAU